GCUUGGUGAUGUUGAGGGUAAUUGUGUCAUUUCACAUAACUACUUUUUUAUGUUCUGCUAGACACAUAAACUUUCAUUUAUCUAUGAAUGCUAAGCUUCAUGUAAAGUGACUCUUCUCCAAAAACAUUUCUAUCCAGAUCGCUAGCUUUCCAUCUCAUCUUGUUCUUAAUUUUGCACUAAAGUGGAUUCUAGAACUUCUCCUUAUUUAUGUGGAGACAAUGGCAAUGAAGAGCAUGAAGUUUAACAUAUCACGAACAAGUAGAACAAAUCCAGAAAGGGAAGGAUCAAGUUGUCUUGGGUUUCAAGCUUGUUUCGAGGAUCGGCUGCCACGUUCUGAUACUCUAACUUGGAUCAAAUUGACACGUUCCGGCAUGCUAACUGGGAUCGAUUGCCACGUUCCAACAUAAGAAUUGGAUCGAAUUGCCACGUUCCAACAUGCUAUAAGUUUGACUUUGUGUUCCAUGAGAGGACCAACUAUGUGAUGAAGCAUGUGAAUUGUGAUGUUGAUUUUUAUGAUAAUAUUGAAUAUAUUGAUAUUUAUGCAUGUGCUAUAAUAUUGUAAUUGCUUGUUUAUGUUACACUAAUGGAUAGCCGAACGAUACUACUAGUACACUAUGGUUGUGUACUUAUUCUCCAGUU
Solanum lycopersicum (tomato) is the source of this 639-nucleotide long non-coding RNA. RefSeq lists it as uncharacterized. Lineage: Eukaryota; Viridiplantae; Streptophyta; Magnoliopsida; Solanales; Solanaceae. The record is from RefSeq and is a predicted model, not a curated record.